This 353-nucleotide unclassified non-coding RNA is filed under the name soil metagenome. RNAcentral's name for it is "partial contains 5.8S ribosomal RNA, internal transcribed spacer 2, and large subunit ribosomal RNA". The stretch from base 1 to 120 matches the Rfam family "5.8S ribosomal RNA", at positions 35 to 154 of the family's 154-position model. The record is from RNAcentral.
GAUGAAGAACGUAGCGAAAUGCGAUAAGUAAUGUGAAUUGCGGAAUUCAGUGAAUCAUCGAAUCUUUGAACGCACAUUGCGCCCGCCAGUAUUCUGGCGGGCAUGCCUGUUCGAGCGUCAUUACAACCCUCAGGCCCCCGGGCCUGGCGUUGGGGAUCGGCGGAAGCCCCCUGCGGGCACAACGCCGUCCCCCAAAUACAGUGGCGGUCCCGCCGCAGCUUCCAUUGCGUAGUAGCUAACACCUCGCAUCUGGAGAGCGGCGCGGCCACGCCGUAAAACACCCAACUUCUGAAUGUUGACCUCGAAUCAGGUAGGAAUACCCGCUGAACUUAAGCAUAUCAAUAAGCGGAGGA